RNAcentral lists this ribosomal RNA (485 nucleotides) under uncultured bacterium. RNAcentral describes it as "SSU rRNA". It matches the Rfam family "Bacterial small subunit ribosomal RNA", at positions 26 to 521 of the family's 1533-position model. The record is from RNAcentral.
AGGAUAAACGCUGGCGGCGUGCCUAACACAUGCAAGUCGAACGCGCUUACUAUCCGCAAGGAGGGUGAGCGAGUGGCGGACGGGUGAGGAACACGUGGGUGACCUACCUUUCAGUGAGGGAUACCGGCGAGAAAUUGCCGACAAGACCGCAUACGCUUCUCUUUUCAAGGGGAGAAGGAAAGCUUUUCGCAAGAGAGGCGCUGGGAGAUGGGCCUGCGGCCGAUUAGCUAGCUGGUGGGGUAAUGGCCUACCAGGGCGACGAUCGGUAGCUGGUCUGAGAGGACGAUCAGCCACACUGGGAUUGAGAACGGCCCAGACUCCUACGGGGGGCAGCAGUGAGGAAUUUUCGGCAAUGGGGGCAACCCUGACCGAGCAACGCCGCGUGCAGGACGACGGCCUUCGGGUUGUAAACUGCUUUUCUCUGGGACGAGAGCGGACGGUACCAGAGGAAGAAGCCCGGCUAACUACGCGCCAGCAGCCGCGGU